AAGUGUUACAGCUCUUUUAGAAUUAGUCUAGCAGGUUUUCUGGUUUGCACCAGAAAAACCAUA
This is a small nuclear RNA of Pongo abelii (Sumatran orangutan), 63 nucleotides long. Its record names the gene U7. It matches the Rfam family "U7 small nuclear RNA". From Rfam's summary of the family: Animal histone pre-mRNAs are spliced by a different mechanism than nuclear pre-mRNAs and self-splicing introns. This processing involves the U7 snRNP, which contains only one RNA species: U7. The record is from Ensembl. Lineage: Eukaryota; Metazoa; Chordata; Mammalia; Primates; Hominidae.